UGCGGAGGGAUCAUUACCGAGUUUACAACUCCCAAACCCCCUGUGAACAUACCACUUGUUGCCUCGGCGGAUCAGCCCGCUCCCGGUAAAACGGGACGGCCCGCCAGAGGACCCCUAAACUCUGUUUCUAUAUGUAACUUCUGAGUAAAACCAUAAAUAAAUCAAAACUUUCAACAACGGAUCUCUUGGUUCUGGCAUCGAUGAAGAACGCAGCAAAAUGCGAUAAGUAAUGUGAAUUGCAGAAUUCAGUGAAUCAUCGAAUCUUUGAACGCACAUUGCGCCCGCCAGUAUUCUGGCGGGCAUGCCUGUUCGAGCGUCAUUUCAACCCUCAAGCACAGCUUGGUGUUGGGACUCGCGUUAAUUCGCGUUCCCCAAAUUGAUUGGCGGUCACGUCGAGCUUCCAUAGCGUAGUAGUAAAACCCUCGUUACUGGUAAUCGUCGCGGCCACGCCGUUAAACCCCAACUUCUGAAUGUUGACCUCGGAUCAGGUAGGAAUACCCGCUGAACUUAAGCAUAUCA
This 519-nucleotide unclassified non-coding RNA is filed under the name Fusarium oxysporum. Its description in RNAcentral is "sequence contains ITS1, 5.8S rRNA gene, ITS2". The stretch from base 166 to 319 matches the Rfam family "5.8S ribosomal RNA". The record is from RNAcentral. Lineage: Eukaryota; Fungi; Ascomycota; Sordariomycetes; Hypocreales; Nectriaceae.